RNAcentral lists this transfer RNA (71 nucleotides) under Marmota monax (woodchuck). RNAcentral's name for it is "tRNA.Ala". The record is from RNAcentral. Lineage: Eukaryota; Metazoa; Chordata; Mammalia; Rodentia; Sciuridae.
GAGGUUGUGGCUCAGUGGUAGAGUGCUCGCCUUGCCUGUGUGAGACCCUGGGUUGGAUCCUCAGCAUUGCA